AUACGGAGGGGGCUAGCGUUGUUCGGAUUUACUGGGCGUAAAGCGCACGUAGGCGGUUUAUCAAGUUAGGCGUGAAAGCCCCGGGCUCAACCCGGGAACUGCGCUUAUUACUGAUAGACUAGAGAGCGGGAGAGGGUAGCGGAAUUCCCAGUGUAGAGGUGAAAUUCGUAGAUAUUAGGAAGAACACCAGUGGCGAAGGCGACUUCCUGGGCCAAUACUGACGCUGAGGUGCGAAAGCGUGGGGAGCAAACAGGAUUAGAAACCCCAGUAGUCC
This 274-nucleotide ribosomal RNA is filed under the name uncultured bacterium. Its description in RNAcentral is "partial 16S ribosomal RNA". It matches the Rfam family "Bacterial small subunit ribosomal RNA", at positions 523 to 796 of the family's 1533-position model. The record is from RNAcentral.